AGGACGAACGCUGGCGGCGUGGAUUAGGCAUGCAAGUCGCGCGACGGACCUUCGGGUUACGGAGCGGCGAACGGGUGAGUAACACGUGAACAAUCUGUCCCUACAUUCCGGAUAAUUGGCCGAAAGGCCUUGUAAUACGGGCGAGGAUGGUGGUGAGGCAUCUCACUAUCAGGGAAGGUGCAACGCAAGUUGUGCCGUGCAGGGAGGGUUCGCGGCCUAUCAGUUAGUUGGUGGGUAACGGCCUACCAAGACGACGACGGGUAGCUGGUCUGAGAGGAUGGUCAGCCACAUUGGAACUGAGACACUGUCCAGACUCCUACGGGAGCUGCAGUCGAGAUCUUGGGCAAUGCACGAAAGUGUGACCCAGCGACGCCGCGUGGAGGAUGGAGGCCCUUGGUUGUAACUCCUUUAUGAGAAGACGUCCUUACGGGACUUGACGUACUCCAUGAAGUAACGCACGGCUAACUACGUGCCAGCAGCCGC
This 483-nucleotide ribosomal RNA is filed under the name uncultured soil bacterium. Its description in RNAcentral is "bacterial SSU rRNA". It matches the Rfam family "Bacterial small subunit ribosomal RNA", at positions 26 to 518 of the family's 1533-position model. The record is from RNAcentral.